ACGAACGCUGGCGGCGUGCUUAACACCUGCAAGUCGAACGGAAAGGCCCUGCUUUUGUGGGGUGCUCGAGUGGCGAACGGGUGAGUAACACGUGAGUAACCUGCCCUUGACUUUGGGAUAACUUCAGGAAACUGGGGCUAAUACCGGAUAGGAGCUCCUGCUGCAUGGUGGGGGUUGGAAAGUUUCGGCGGUUGGGGAUGGACUCGCGGCUUAUCAGCUUGUUGGUGGGGUAGUGGCUUACCAAGGCUUUGACGGGUAGCCGGCCUGAGAGGGUGACCGGCCACAUUGGGACUGAGAUACGGCCCAGACUCCUACGGGAGGCAGCAGUGGGGAAUAUUGCACAAUGGGAGGAAGCCUGAUGCAGCAACGCCGCGUGCGGGAUGACGGCCUUCGGGUUGUAAACCGCUUUCGCCUGUGACGAAGCGUGAGUGACGGUAAUGGGUAAAGAAGCACCGGCUAACUACGUG
Molecule: ribosomal RNA, 467 nt
Filed under: uncultured bacterium
Lineage: Bacteria
Description: partial 16S ribosomal RNA
Rfam family: Bacterial small subunit ribosomal RNA
Source: RNAcentral